UUUCGCUAUCGCGCCGAUUUGAUGGUCAGCUUGCGGGCGCGUAAUAAAUUCGGCUAAAGAGAGGGAAACCCGUUCAGC
RNAcentral lists this non-coding RNA (78 nucleotides) under Betaproteobacteria bacterium. Lineage: Bacteria; Pseudomonadati; Pseudomonadota; Betaproteobacteria. The record is from RNAcentral.